RNAcentral lists this ribosomal RNA (470 nucleotides) under uncultured bacterium. RNAcentral describes it as "bacterial SSU rRNA". It matches the Rfam family "Bacterial small subunit ribosomal RNA", at positions 326 to 794 of the family's 1533-position model. The record is from RNAcentral.
ACGCUAUCACUCCUACGGGAGGCAGCAGUGAGGAAUAUUGGGCAAUGGAGGCAACUCUGACCCAGCCAUGCCGCGUGCAGGAAGACGGCCCUAUGGGUUGUAAACUGCUUUUAUACAGGAAGAAACGCAUCUACGUGUAGGUGUUUGACGGUACUGUAAGAAUAAGGAUCGGCUAACUCCGUGCCAGCAGCCGCGGUAAUACGGAGGAUUCGAGCGUUAUCCGGAAUCAUUGGGUUUAAAGGGUCCGUAGGCGGUCUUAUAAGUCAGUGGUGAAAUCUUCCAGCUCAACUGGGAAACUGCCAUUGAUACUGUAGGACUUGAAUAUUUGUGAAGUAACUAGAAUAUGUAGUGUAGCGGUGAAAUGCUUAGAUAUUACAUGGAAUACCAAUUGCGAAGGCAGGUUACUAACAGAUUAUUGACGCUGAUGGACGAAAGCGUGGGUAGCGAACAGGAUUAGAUACCCUGGUAGG